This 437-nucleotide ribosomal RNA is filed under the name uncultured bacterium. Its description in RNAcentral is "partial 16S ribosomal RNA". It matches the Rfam family "Bacterial small subunit ribosomal RNA", at positions 28 to 507 of the family's 1533-position model. The record is from RNAcentral.
GAUGAACGCUGGCGGCAUGCCUAACACAUGCAAGUCGGACGGGAAGUGGUGUUUCCCGUGGCGGUCGGGUGAGUAACGCGUAAGAACCUGCCAUUGGGAGGGGAACAACAGCUGGAAACGGUUGCUAAUAGCCCGCAGGCUGAGGAGCAAAAGGAGGAAUCAGCCCGAGGGGUGGCUCGGGUCUGAUUAGCUAGUUGGUGAGGCAAUAGCUUACCAAGGCGACGAUCAGGAGCUGGUCCGAGAGGAUGAUCAGCCACACUGGGACGGAGACACGGCGCAGGCACCUACGGGAGACAGGCGUAGGGAAUAUUCCGCAAUGGGCGGAAGGCUGACAGGGCAAUGGGACGUGAAAGUAGAAGGCCUAGGGAUCAAGAACUUCUUUUGCCAGAGAAGAAGUAAUGACGGUAUCUGGGGAAUAAGCAUCGGCUAACUCUGUG